Molecule: RNase P RNA, 303 nt
Filed under: Carassius auratus (goldfish)
Lineage: Eukaryota; Metazoa; Chordata; Actinopteri; Cypriniformes; Cyprinidae
Description: Nuclear RNase P (ENSCARG00000058264.1)
Rfam family: Nuclear RNase P
About the family: Ribonuclease P (RNase P) is a ubiquitous endoribonuclease, found in archaea, bacteria and eukarya as well as chloroplasts and mitochondria. Its best characterised activity is the generation of mature 5'-ends of tRNAs by cleaving the 5'-leader elements of precursor-tRNAs. Cellular RNase Ps are ribonucleoproteins.
Source: Rfam by way of RNAcentral
GCGAAAGGAAGUUCACUGUAGAGGUUACUUACUGAGUGUAAAUCACUCAUCCUAUCACCUCGGGGAAGGUCUGAGACAAGAGCCAAUCGCUGUCUUCACAGGACAUCAUCUGAACAGAUGAGCGAGCGCACAGGAAAGAUGGGUCAGAACGCGGAGCUAACGCACGAGACGUUGGAAAUGCAGAAUAGCGAGCCAGCUGACGCGAUCCCCGUUGACUUGGAAACGCUCGCGGCUGGCGCAAUGAGUUCAAUGUGUGAACUGGCACGAGAUGCUAGAACCCAAUUCAGACUACUCUCCUAUCGC